GUGCCAGCCGCCGCGGUAAUAUCGGCAGCCCAAGUGAUGGCCGCUGUUAUUGGGCCUAAAGCGUCCGUAGCUGGCCGCACAAGUCCGUCGGGAAAUCCGCCCGCUCAACGGGCGGCCGUCCGGCGGAAACUGUUCGGCUUGGGGCCGGAGGACCCGAGGGGUACGUCCGGGGUAGGAGUGAAAUCCCAUAAUCCCGCACGGACCACCGAUGGCGAAAGCACUUCGAGAAAACGGAUCCGACAGUGAGGGACGAAAGCCAGGGUCUCCAACCGGAUUAGAUACCCGGGUAGUCC
RNAcentral lists this ribosomal RNA (293 nucleotides) under uncultured bacterium. RNAcentral's name for it is "partial 16S ribosomal RNA". It matches the Rfam family "Archaeal small subunit ribosomal RNA", at positions 455 to 747 of the family's 1478-position model. The record is from RNAcentral.